CUCCGGUUUAUUAAGUCUAUAGGUGUUCUGAGCAGCACGGUUUGUAGAUCUAUAAGUAUAACCCAAACUUCUCUUUCUCCCGGUCACCUUUGUUUGUCUUAAGUGUUUUUUUGUGGGUGAUUGUUUGUCUAUAUUGGGGACACACUUUGGUAAGUUAGUAGUGUCCCCACUCUGAGUCAGCAGUAUGGGAAAUGUGAGUUCAUGUCCUGAGUGACCAAUAUAUGUAUGUGUAUAUAUGUGUGUGUAUGUAUAUAUGUGUAUAUGUAUGUAUAUAUGUGUGUGUAUAUGUAUAUGUGUAUAUAUAAGAUAGCAGUACUUUUAAACAAAUGGAGGUUUUAAAAAUACAUAGGGAUUAAGGAGAGAACGCAGGUAACUUGUUUUUUUUUGGUUUUUACCAUAUAUUGGGCUGAUGUGUACUGUAGUCCUUGCUGCUGCCCAGUAGUGAUGGGAGUGAGCGCAGGACUUAUCUUUUUGCAAGAUAGCAGUACUGUAUAUUAGAAAAGAAAUGACUCAUAGGUUGUACCUGAUAGACCUACUUAAAUCUUUUUGCUUUAUUCUUUCUGUCGCAUAGAAGUAUAAGUUUAUUACUCUGUUUUAUUGUAAGUUAUUUCACAUGGGAACUGUGUGCCUGGAAUGAUUGUUGCUUUAAAAAUACUAUAAGCCCACUACACUUAUUAUGAGAGUGGGAUAGUGUAAAUGUGUUGCAUUGUUUGCAUGAUGAGCUCAGUAUAUUUUAUAACUGAGACAAAAAGUCACUUCAUUAGUAUUUGAAAGUUAAUUCCCCAUAUGGG
This 791-nucleotide long non-coding RNA is filed under the name Pelobates cultripes (western spadefoot toad). The record is from RNAcentral. Lineage: Eukaryota; Metazoa; Chordata; Amphibia; Anura; Pelobatidae.